UCUCCGUUGGUGAACCAGCGGAGGGAUCAUUACAGGAGGUUAACACCCCCAAGACCACUGUGAACCUACCGGACACGUUGCCUCGGCGGGCGCCUCGCCCGCCGGCGGCCUGCUACUCUUGUCUCACGCGUUGGCAUCUCCGAGUCGAUUCUAACGAGUCAAAACUUUCAACAACGGAUCUCUUGGUUCUGGCAUCGAUGAAGAACGCAGC
This 211-nucleotide unclassified non-coding RNA is filed under the name uncultured fungus. Its description in RNAcentral is "sequence contains ITS1, 5.8S rRNA gene". The stretch from base 163 to 211 matches the Rfam family "5.8S ribosomal RNA", at positions 1 to 49 of the family's 154-position model. The record is from RNAcentral. Lineage: Eukaryota; Fungi.